AUCAUCUGACAAGUGUCUGUCACAUAUAUUCAGAAUAAGCAUGUGUGAGUCAUAUGAAACAUUCUCAUAUUUUUUUAGUGUUAGUUAUCUGAGAUGUAAAAUGCCGGGAAAGUGUCCUCAUAGAGAGACACUGCAUUUUUUGCACUGAAUUUGCACAGAAUUUUUAGCUGAAAUGUUAGUGUGACCGUGUAUAGGAUAAGUGGUAGUGAUUGAUGUUGAUAACAACCAAUCAGGGGCCAGUGCUGCCUAUUUUAGAGCCGGUUGGCUGUGUUAGGUGAUGUGUCACCUCCAGCCCCGCCUUUCUUGUUCCGCGUUUGUUGACAUCUGUUUCAGCCUGGUUUUUCGUUGGUUUUCCUGUUGGUUGCCAUGGAGUUAAUGACUGCCACCCAUUCAGCUCGCUUGUAGCAUAAAUGGAGAUGACUAAUUCGUAAUACAUGAGUGUACUACUCCCGGCUUGGAUUCUCCCUCUCUGUCCUGGGCGAUUAUAAAUAAAGAUCUAGCAUCUGUAACAUUACUCCGGUUGUGUUUGAAAGAUUCUGCUAUCCUGAGAUCUCUAGUGGAAAGAACUACUACUGUUUACUACUGCUGCCUGCUUCUACUAUCUGCUGCUGCUAC
Molecule: non-coding RNA, 615 nt
Organism: Danio rerio (zebrafish)
Lineage: Eukaryota; Metazoa; Chordata; Actinopteri; Cypriniformes; Danionidae
Source: RefSeq, a predicted model, not a curated record